RNAcentral lists this RNase P RNA (378 nucleotides) under Puniceicoccales bacterium. RNAcentral's name for it is "RNase P RNA component class A". It matches the Rfam family "Bacterial RNase P class A". From Rfam's summary of the family: Ribonuclease P (RNase P) is a ubiquitous endoribonuclease, found in archaea, bacteria and eukarya as well as chloroplasts and mitochondria. Its best characterised activity is the generation of mature 5'-ends of tRNAs by cleaving the 5'-leader elements of precursor-tRNAs. Lineage: Bacteria; Pseudomonadati; Verrucomicrobiota; Opitutia; Puniceicoccales. The record is from RNAcentral.
UGAGGGGAAGGCACCCGCUCGCGGGCUUGCCGGCGAGAGGAAAGUCCGGACAUCGCAGGGCAGGACUCCCGAUGAAAGUCGGGGCGGGGCGUGGAAACGCGCUUCGACGGCCAGUGUCACAGAAAAGAAACCGCCCGCGCAAGCGGGUAAGGGUGAAAAGGUGGGGUAAGGGCCCACCGCGCCGGCGAGCGAUCCCGGCGGCAGGGUAAACCCAGUCCGAUGCAAGGCAGAAUAGGGAGCCGGGUGGCCCGCCCGACGGUUCCGGGUAUGCCGCACCGGCGGACCUUCGCGGAUCCGCUGGAGCCUCCGCAGGGAGGCUAGAUGAAUGGGUGCCGCGGCCCGAAAGGGCCGAACAGAAUCCGGCUUACCCCUCGAUAU